This 30-nucleotide non-coding RNA is filed under the name Rattus norvegicus (Norway rat). Lineage: Eukaryota; Metazoa; Chordata; Mammalia; Rodentia; Muridae. The record is from RNAcentral.
UCUUGUCUUCGUUAAAUUCCAGUCCACAGA